RNAcentral lists this small RNA (27 nucleotides) under Bombyx mori (domestic silkworm). RNAcentral describes it as "piRNA piR-bmo-1761202". The record is from RNAcentral. Lineage: Eukaryota; Metazoa; Arthropoda; Insecta; Lepidoptera; Bombycidae.
UAUAGUCAUCACUUGGCAUGCGCUCUA